AACGAACGCUGGCGGCAUGCCUAACACAUGCAAGUCGAACGAGACCUUCGGGUCUAGUGGCGCACGGGUGCGUAACGCGUGGGAACCUGCCCUUAGGUUCGGAAUAACUCCCCGACAGGGGUGCUAAUACCGGAUAAUGUCUUCGGACCAAAGAUUUAUCGCCUUAGGAUGGGCCCGCGUUGGAUUAGCUUGUUGGUAGGGUAAAAGCCUACCAAGGCGACGAUCCAUAGCUGGUCAGAGAGGAUGAUCAGCCACACUGGGACUGAGACACGGCCCAGACUACUACGGGAGGCGGCAGUGGGGAAUAUUGGACAACGGGCGAAGGGCUGAUCCAGCAAUGCCGCGUGAGUGAUGAAGGCCUUAGGGUUGUAAAGCUCUUUUACCCGGGAUGAUAAUGACAGUACCGGGAGAAUAAGCUCCGGCUAACUCCGUG
This 433-nucleotide ribosomal RNA is filed under the name uncultured bacterium. RNAcentral describes it as "partial 16S ribosomal RNA". It matches the Rfam family "Bacterial small subunit ribosomal RNA", at positions 29 to 507 of the family's 1533-position model. The record is from RNAcentral.